This 694-nucleotide long non-coding RNA is filed under the name Heterocephalus glaber (naked mole-rat). RNAcentral describes it as "lncRNA (ENSHGLG00100036346.1)". Lineage: Eukaryota; Metazoa; Chordata; Mammalia; Rodentia; Bathyergidae. The record is from RNAcentral.
UCUAAAAUGUACCAAUAAAUGUAUUGUUAAAAAAAAAAAAGACCCCUUGUAGGGGCAGGGCCAAGAAAGGGCGGACUCUUGUGUUUCUGGGUUAGUAGGCCUGCCCGUGUUCCAUUGGCUAACACAUCGCUCAAUCAUCAGUCCCCGCCUCCCUGGGCCUGGCCGGAAGACCCGUCCCCACUUCCCAUUGCCCGCCGCUGCCUGCCCAGCCCUUGGUGAACACCGGAAUUCAGAGGCUCGGUGUGACACACCUGGAACCCCAGCACUUUCGAGACUGAGGCAGGAGGAUCACCGGUCUCAGUAUGCAAUUCAGGCUGGCCUCCAACUCCCAGUGAUCCUCCCGCCUCAGCCUCCAGAGUGCUAGGAUGACAGGAGCUCACUACGUAGCCCAGGCUGGUCUUGAACUCACGGUGAUCCUCCUGCCUCAGCCUCCCUGUGCUGGGACUACGGACAUAAGCGCCUGGCUGAGCACUUGCUGGAGCCUCUAGGGAAAACAUAUCUACCUCAAGUCCCCAGGGUGGCCCCCCGGGGGCAUAGGUGGGACCCAGUCAACACUGCUGAAGCUGGAGACAGUGGCACCUGCCUGUAAACCCAGCACUUCAGGAGGCUGAGGCAGGAGGGUUGGGAAUUCAAGCCCAGCCUGGGCAACUUAGCAAGACCCUGUCAGUGCAGAGGCACUGGGUUCAAUCUCCGG